ACUCAAAUGAAUUGACGGGGGCCCGCACAAGCGGUGGAGCAUAUGGCUUAAUUCGAUGCAACGCGAAGAACCUUACCAGGGCUUGACAUGGAGCUGCAAGCCGCCGAAAAGCGGUCGCCUUCGAGGGUGCUUCACAGGUGGUGCAUGGCUGUCGUCAGCUCGUGUUGUGAAAUGUUGGGUUAAGUCCCGCAACGAGCGCAACCCUCACGUUCUGUUACCAGCGAGUAAAGUCGGGGACUCGGAACGAACUGCCUCUGUAAAGAGGAGGAAGGUGGGGAUGACGUCAAGUCAUCAUGCCCCUUACGCCCUGGGCUGCACAUAUGCUACAAUGGCUGCUACAAAGGGUUGCCAACUCGCGAGAGUGAGCUAAUCCCAAAAAGGCAGUCUCAGUUCGGAUUGGAGUCUGCAACUCGACUCCAUGAAGCUGGAAUCGCUAGUAACCGCAGGUCAGCAUUACUGCGGUGAAUACGUUCCCGGGCCUUGCACACACCGCCCGU
RNAcentral lists this ribosomal RNA (497 nucleotides) under uncultured bacterium. RNAcentral describes it as "partial 16S ribosomal RNA". It matches the Rfam family "Bacterial small subunit ribosomal RNA", at positions 899 to 1397 of the family's 1533-position model. The record is from RNAcentral.